UCACCUGCCGAAGCAACUAGCCCUGAAAAUGGAUGGCGCUCUAGCGUCGUGCCUAUACCGGGCCGUCAACGGCAAAGUGGGCUGGUGCCCGGCUGGUUAACGCCGGCCGGCUCGGCCGUUAAGCCUUGACGAGUAGGAGGCGCGCGGCGGUGUGCGCAGAAGGGUCUGGGCGUGAGCCUGCCUGGAGCCGCCGUCGGUGCAGAUCUUGGUGGUAGUAGCAAAUACUCUAGCGAGGGCCUGGAGGGCUGAUGUGGAGAAGGGUUUCUUGUGAACAGCCGUUGCACAAGAGUCAGUCGACCCUAAGCCCUAGGAGAAAUCCGAUGUUGAUGGGCAGCGAUCACUCGGCCUGGUUUGUGGCGUUGUGCUCGCACACACGCACGCGGCCUACCGACUGCUCCCGUCGGGCGAAAGGGAAUCCGGUUCCUAUUCCGGAACCCGGCUGCGGAACCGUCACUUCGCGGGCACUCGCCUGCGAGCGCUCGUCGGGGUAACCCAACAUGACCCGGAGACGCCGGCGGGAGGUCUGGAAAGAGUUGUCUUUUCUUUAUAAGCGUUCGAGUUCCCUGGAAUCCUAUAGCAGGGAGAUAGGGUUUGGAACGCGAAGAGCACCGCAGUUGCGGCGGUGUCCGGACCUUCCCCCCGGACCUUGAAAAUCCGGGUGAGGGCUACGCGGAAAUGUCGCGCCGGCUCGUACCCAUAUCCGCAGCAGGU
Molecule: ribosomal RNA, 711 nt
Filed under: Hysteropterum vasconicum
Lineage: Eukaryota; Metazoa; Arthropoda; Insecta; Hemiptera; Issidae
Description: eukaryotic LSU rRNA
Rfam family: Eukaryotic large subunit ribosomal RNA
Source: RNAcentral